RNAcentral lists this long non-coding RNA (8059 nucleotides) under Vigna radiata. Its description in RNAcentral is "long non-coding RNA (VRAD_LNC010066)". The record is from RNAcentral. Lineage: Eukaryota; Viridiplantae; Streptophyta; Magnoliopsida; Fabales; Fabaceae.
UCACUUUCAAACGUGUCAAAAAUCGACUUUUUCUCUUGACAAAACUUCUGGUGCUAGCAAGAACGCGUGUUCACCCUUUUCGACAUGUAUGGAGUUGUUGUUGCUCCCAAAAGGUACGUACACGAACCUAAUCACAGAAAGAAAAAUAAUUUUCUUAAAUCCCAUCCCAAUGAAUUUAAACCAACCUAGCAUAGAGUAAGAAACGACAAUCCUCCUAGGGCAAAUAUAGCCGAAGGAGAUGACAUUAUGGUUGCGGUCGUUUCUCAAGUAAAUCUGAUGACCAAUGUGAGCAAAUGGGUGUGUUAAACUUGCUUCUAGUCGCAUCAAAGCCAACAAACUCAGUUUCCCCACUAAUGUAAUAUAGGGGUCAACCAAGAAUCAAUCCAAGGACUCAACUAUGAUUAAGUCUAAAGUGUAAAGUUUAUUCUUGUAAUUAUUUACUAAUUAUUUAUGAAACGUGGGGAAAGAAAAUCUAAUUUUAAAAUCAAAGAAUUAAAAAUUAAAAUUUGUUUCAAAGGAUAAGAAAGGAAAAUGCAAGAAAGAAAUUGAAACCUAAACUAAAGUACUGGAAAGAUUAAAUCUAAUUAUUCAUACAAUUCAAACAAUAACUAUUUCAACAUAUGAAUGCUACAAAUUAACCGUGCAAGAAAAACAAAAGUAAAAUUGAAUAUAGAAACUACUGAUGCAUGAAAGCAAUGAAAAUAAUUGAGUGAGAAAACAAUAAGGAACUAACAUUUAACACUCACGAACAUGAAAUCCAAAUCAAAUACUUUGAUUCAUUCAGUGUUUUGAAUUUCACCCUGACUCAAGGAGACACCUUGGAAAAGAAAAGCUCACUGUGGAGCCAAUACAAUUUCUCUUAUUAGAGAAAAUAAAGUGCAGUUUCACAAUUCAAAACCUAAAUCAAAACAAAAAAUUUUUUUCUGAGAAGACAACAAUAGCAUAAUUGAAUUCACAAUAUUUUUUCUUCAUUAGACUCGUCUCCAAACUCGAGAAGACAUUUUGGUAUGUCAUGCUCACUGUGGAGUCAUGUAAUCCCCUAAGGAAUUUUAACUGUGGAGUCACAGAGUCCAAAUCAGCUUUUAUACAAAACCAAACAAUUGACAAAUAUAUUUUUUUACUCGUUGGAGUCACUCUGACUCGAGAAGACAUCUCGGUCAUGCAGGCCCAACUCGGGGUCGUUUAACUCCAAAAAAGAAUUAUAAUGUGCAGAGUUACGAGUUCAAAUCGUUUUUAAAUCAAAAUACACAAGAAACACAGAAACAUUGAAGAAACAAAAUAAAAAAGCAUGUAAAACAAAGAACACAUCAAAGAUAGAGAACAUUUUAUUAACAUGAAACGAGAAUUACAGUACCUAACAACGCAUAAUCGGAGCCACCAUGGGUUGUCACCACCGUGAGUGUGCGUUCCAAAAGUAAGGAAAAUGAAAAUCCUAACUAUCUAAAACUGUAAAAAAAAUGGAAAAAUAUUUCGGUCCCUUCGAUUCUAUUUACAAAAGCCCUUUUUAUAGGGUCAAAGACAAAUGAAAAUAUGAAAGAGAGAAAAGGAAAGAGUGAAACUUGUUUUCGACACUUCGGGCUUCACUUUGAUCCAACGGUCCUCUUUAUUUUGCCUCAUUGCUCUCUACUAGCCGUUUGAUCAUCCAUAUGGCAACGCCGGUCAACUCUUCUUUCUUGUCGGUCAUCUUCUCCGGGCAGGUUUAAUCACGUGCGUCUUCGCUCUCUCUCACUCUAACCCUAGAAAAGGGUUGUUUUCUUCUUAUCGUCCUCUUUCUCUCCCUCGAAGCCUUCGCACAAAGGAUGCUUCUGCCCAAAUGAAUGCUUGAGAGAUAGACCCCCAAAGACAACCAAGCCAAAACGCUACGUUUCAUUAACUUCAGCUGUUGUCCAAGUCCAACCAUGUUACCCACUCUUGUUUUAAACAUCAGCAACGCCCCAAUUUGGAGUCAACCCACUUCAUUCUUCAAGCAGCGUUUGAGGCAAAGAUGCCCAUUAAAUCUCUUCGUCAGCUUUCAAACAACACUUUGCAGCGGCCUAGAUCAAAAGUGCAGUGGCAAUCUUUCAGCAGUGCAGCCCAAUUGCUUUGAAUCUCCCUCCAAUGAAAUGGUAGCAGCUUUCAGACGUGGCAACAACAUCAUUCCAUCAGACCAACCCCUUUGCAAAACGGCCCAUCUAUCCAAUUAAGUGGGCAAUUAGCAGCCAAUCCUAAGCGGCCAAUUCAAAUAUAAACCAAUCAACCCUCUCCAGCAUAGCAAUAGUGCAACAGCCCAAUAUACUUUUGUUGACCAAAUCAACCCAGUUGACCAAGGCCCAAAACCCAAUCUGCAGAAAAAAUCAAUCAAUAAUUAAAGGAAAGGGCAUUUCAAAAAUUAAAGAAAAGAAAAUCCUAUCUAAACAAAAAUAAAGAAAAGAAUUCUUAAAAAAAUACUAAUUUCCUAUUUAUGACAAACACUAAAAAAAUACUUCUAAAAUCCAAAUUUUAACUACAAUUUUAUAAAACUACAAUUUUAUACAAAAAUCCUAAAAUUAACCUAAUUCUAAACAAUAAAAAAAAAACUAAAAUGAACUAAGAAUGAUUUCUAAACACAGAAAAAUAAGCAAAUUUAGAGUGUUAUCAAGGUGGUAGACUCUGGUGCUACCAGGCAUAUCGGUGCAAACAGAAGUGCCUUAACCUCUUACACUAGUGUAGGGGAUGGAAAGAACAUGUCUACCUCGGAGAUCCCAAGACCAUUCCUGUUUUGGGAAAAGGGAAAGUUCUUCUUAAGCUCACAUCUGGAAAGACUUUGGCCUUGAGUGAUGUGUUACACGUGACAUCAAUCAAAGUUAUUUUAAUCUUUGUAGCACUGUUGGGAAAGGUGGGGGUUAAAGUGUCAUUUGAGUAUGAAAAGAUCAUUAUGACAAAAAAUAAUGUUUUCGUGGGGAACGGAUAUUGUGAUCAAGGACUCUUCAUUCUAAAUGUUUCUGAAAAUAUUAAUGAAUCAAGUUCUUCUGCUUAUAUUGUUGACUCGUAUGAUAUAUGGCAUGCUAGAUUAGGACAUGUGAAUCCCUCGUAUGUUUUGAAAUUACAACGACUACGAUUGAUUAUAAUAUGCAUGAUAAACAAAGUAGUAAAUGUGAUAUAUGUGUAGAAUCUAAAAUGACAAAGAAAACAUGUUUUUCUGUAGAACGCCAAUCUGAAUUGUUAGGGUUAAUUCAUGUUUACUGCAUGUUUUUAACAAAAUAGAAUACCCUAUAAGAAAACUGAUAAAAAUCCUUAUGAGUUGUGGAAAGGUUACCAACCUAACCUUAAAUAUCUAAGAGUGUGGGGGUGCUUAGCUAAGGUGAUGUUACCCGAAUCCUAAGAAAAGGAAAAUAGGCUUUAAAACCUCUGAUUGUAUGUUCUUAGGUUAUGCUUAACAUAAUGUUGCCUAAAGUUUUCUAGUUGUUAAAAGUAACAUACUUGAUAGAAACUCUAUAAUUGAGACAAAAAAUGCUGAGUUUUUUUAGCAUGUGUUUCCCUUAAAGGUUAGUGAAAUGUCUCAACAUGUUGAUGAUAAUAAUAAUAGUGAUACCAUGAAUGAGGAUUUGAGAAGAAGUAAAAGACAGAGAAAGGAAACUUCCUUUGGAGAUGACUUUUAUACUUAUCUUGCUUAUAAUGAACCAAUAAGCUUUGUAGAAGCUACUAGUUCUCCUGAUGUAAAACAGUGGGGUAAGGCCACUAGAAUUGAAAUUGAAUAAAUUUAGAAAAACAAUACUUGGACUUUAGUAUAUUUGCCUAAAGGAGCAAAACCCAUUGGUUGUAAGUGGAUCUUUAAGAAGAAGUAUCACCCUGAUGGAUCCAUAAAGAAGUAUAAGAUCUUGGCAUGAUCUCUAGAGCACUCAUGAAUAUUGGGCACGCGCAUGGCCUAGUAAGCGCAACACAGCGAUAACAACAAGGAUUGUGGAGGUGUAUUGUGAUUGAUAAACCUCUAACACAUGUCAAGUGUCUUUGGUUCAUAUAGCUUGCUAUACCAACUACAAUGUGUGUUAAGUAUCUCAAUCUAAGACUGGUUCAUAUAGCUUGCAAUACCAGCUUUGGUGCAUUAUAUCCUUUGAGACUCAGAAUGAAAGUUUCUUAUCUUUCUUUUAAUGUUUGAACUAUUUGAGUAAAAGAUUUUUCUUUCAACUCUCUUUUGCAAUAAGUGGGGGAUUGUUAUAAUAUUUUAUUAUUAUUGCAAAAGUGAAAACGUUUUAGGACAUUUAUUUUAGAACGUUGGAAAUUUGUUGGCAACGACUUCAAUUCCUUAAGUGCUCCAACGUUAACAAAUUUAAUGUUUUUUAUUUUCUUUUCUUGAUUUUAUUCUCUCAUAGCUCUAUAAAUAGAGAUCUUUUCCCCAUUCCAAAACACACAAAAUUUAGUCUUUCUCAUUCUUCUCUCUUCUGAUUUUCAUUCUUUAGCUUUUUUCUUCUUCUAAAAAUAUUAUGGGUUAUUCUUGUACUCUGUUUAGAGAUCCUUGCUAGUUCUGAUAUCCUUAGAAAUUCUGAGAAGUUCUUGUUGUAUAUUGGGGGACUUGCGCAAUACACCGCAGAUAAGUCCUUAGGACAAUGACUCUACACACCUCAAAAAAAUACUAUUUGUCAGCUUUUUACAACAAAGAAUUUGCAGUUUUUUCCCUAAUAAAUUACAAGAGAAGAGUUUUCACAUUUUUCCACACCAAAAUUGCACGAGAGGAGUUUGUAGUUUUGUUUACAAAAAUUUAGUAUGAGAUGUUUUGGUGUUUACAGUUUUGAGCGACUCGGGGAUAUAUUCUACAAUUUUUUGUUUUCUUUUACAUCUAUGGUUAUUAUGAAAAAGAAUAUGGGUCGGUAUUCCUUGACAUAUUUAAUUGUUAAUAAUUCCUUUAAGAAGCAUAGUAUGGACAACGUGGCAACCAUUGUCAUUAUUCUGGAGUUUUUCAAUUUCUCACCAAACUCACUUAGGGGAACCUGUAUUGAAAAGAGGGAUGUAGGUUUUCUAUUUGGUUUGCAAGAAUCUUCCUUCAAAAGCUUAGUUAAUGGCAUCUCGUCUGAUCUUAUGCAUUCGGAGCACCCUCUUCUAGUAGAUACCAAGUUGAAGAGAAUAUUGGUUGAAGUAAAAGAUUGUGGUUUUGGUUCCCUUUUUUCAUCUGAAAAUUUUGAUGAACCAAAGGACUCCAAAGCAAAUUUCCAAAAAUAUUGACUAAGAUGACUAUUUGUAUGAACUACCUCCGCCUUCGCCUAAUUUCCAUUCUCAUCAUGCUACUGUUAAUGAAGCUGAAGACCGAUGCAUAAAUCCUGAAGGUUUUGCUAGUUUCAUUGGUCUUGAAUCACAUGAUACUGAUUCUCAAAAUGGGUAUUCUGAUUAUUCAAUGCCUAAUUUGAGGUAUGUGUUGAAGAAGAGUUUUCAAAGUGGAUCAUUUGGUGAAGUGUGGUUGGCUUUUCACGGGAAUUAUAAUCAAGAUAAUAAUGUUGCAAAAGGGAGUAGGGAUAAUACAAAUACAAGAAACAACACAACUACUUCUGAUUGUCAGAACGAUCCUUCUAAUUACACCGUGUACAUUAUGAAAUGUAUAACGGUGGAGAUGGGGUCAACUAUUUACUUAAGUGGUCUAAGGGAGAAGAACUUCGGAGAAGUCUUUUUAAAUCCACUAUUGGCCAGAAAAUCAAACUGUCUUGGAAUGAUCAUCACAGUUUGGUUUUAGGAAAUAUUUCCGAACAAAUUUCGACUAUGAAAAACCCCAUAUGAAGAAGGCUUGAACCAUAUUGUAAGAUAUGUGGACCUUUUGAGUCUCAAGCAAGCAAAAUUUGACUUAUAUUGACUGUCAAAACGUCUGUAUUCCGUGGAAGAUGCAUGUGGUACUGUUGAGAAGGAAAGACUUGAGCAAGCUAAGCAAGUAUAGAAAUACGAUCCUUAAAGUGGUGGCAUUGGUUGAAAACAACAUAAUAAAGGCAGACAGAAACACGCAACCUUAUUUGGCAGUUGAGAAUAUGCAGAUAUGCUUUGAAGAUAAGGAAAUAGGGAGAUGCUUGAAAGAGAUUCUCACUAAAGUUAAUAAUUCUUUGACCAAAAUGCAUAUUAUUGAUUUUGAAAGUGGCAUUGAUGAAUACAUAUUAAAUAAUUUGUAUGGUUCUAUUGGGCCUUCGAGAGCUAAGCAAACCUAUGAGUAUAAUCCUUCUAAAGCUUUACUAAAUGUAGAGCGUGGGUGUUGAGAUGUUAGAGUUGGUCUUAGGGACAGUAGAUGUUUUUUAGAUAAAUGCCUUUUGUCUAGAAAAAAUUGUAUGAAGGUUUGCACUUCUUCUGAGAGAACUUUGACCAAAAAAAUUUGUAGUUUUAUCUACACAAAAAAUACAUAAUAAGAGUUUGCUAAAAAUGUACUGAGACCUACAUGUUAGUAAUGGUUAAAUUGUUGAAAUUGUCUUUCUUAUGUAGUUUGUUAAAAAACUGCUUAAUAAAUUUGAAAUAAGCUAUUGCAAAAAGUUUCUCAAAAUUAUUGAAUAGAAUAAUGAGAUAACUGAAGUAAUGGAGGAAUUUUUGUUGGUUCUUCAAUCCAAAGUUUGACAUUGAGUAAAAUAAAGACACUACCAGAACAAAGUUAUUAUAAAAAUGAAAAAUUGAUUUGAGAGAGAUUACCCCAACUCAAUACAUCUUUUACGGGUGUGGUAGACUUGGGUAGUUGUGUUUUAAUCAAAGGUUUACAACUUUUUUUCAAAAAAUUAUACGAGGUGAGUUUCCCUUUUUUCUACAAGAAAUUACAGGAGAAGAGUUUGUAGUUUUCUCCAUAGUAAUAGUAGGUUGACACGCCUACGUGUUACCUACACUCAUUUGACACGGUCCAGGUAAGUUUUUUGAAAAAAAAAAUUGUUCAGUAGACGUGGGUAAAAGGGGAAAAAGAAAAAUAUGGCUUUCGGUCUUCUUUUGCUCCUCUUUCAAAAAUCACAUUUAGGUUUUCUUUCUUUCAAGACGCAUUGUUCUUCAUCAUUCUUCGUCGGUGCUCUUCUUCAUCGUCUUUCAUUGGCACCCUUGAGCUGCUUCAAUCGGUGGUGUGUUUGAGUUAGGCUUCUAAUCGCUGCAUUCUCUGUUUUUACAAGCUGAUUUUCUUUGGAAGGUAAUAACAGAGAAAUAAUUUUAUUUAAUCUUUGGUCUUUGAGUGAGAAACUGCAUUACCUUGAGUCCUUGGUACCUUCCAAGCAUGAGAAUGGUGGCCAAUGGGUUUGUGCCAGGUGACAAAGUAAGAUGUAAAAAUGUAUAGUGGUUGAACUUGAGAUGACAAAGUCUCUUCUCUCAAGUCAUUAGACACACCUACAAAAACAAUCAUUUCUUAGAAUAUAAAAGUCAGGUAUUUUGAUUGUUCAAAAUCAUUAUUCUAUACACUGAUGUCUAUCUUUGGUCCAUAGAAUGCUUCAUCCCCUUCAUUCAACUACAAGGUUUUACACAAAUAUAAGCACAAAGAUAGUAAAGCUUACAAAUGUCAUAUUCCACAGAAAAUAAUAAAACAUUAUGAAAAUAAAAAAUGGAGUGUGUAGGUGUGAGUGAAAAACCUUCACCCAUAUCAACAUAAAGAUGAAGAGAACAAAUGGGUGUUGUCAUAAACAAAAUGAAACUGCCAACAUAAGCAAAUUAGAUGAUAUAAUGCAAAAAGGAAUCAAGGGCGGACUGGAGGAAUGAGCCUGUAGUAGAGCAUUUCGUGUUUUCAAAACUAAAUCAAAAACAAAACUCUCUGUCUCACGCCCUUGCCCCUUUACUCUAGGGUUUUCGAAAAUGAACAAAAAAGAAAACGAAAGAUAGAGAAAUGAUGAGAAAAGAAGAAAUGAAUUGAAAGGGGACAAACCUCAUAUGCUUCGCACUUCGUCGGUUCGAACUCUUCUGAUCAUCGAUCACGUACAGCCUGUGGCAGCUGUACUUCUCUGUUUUUUUUUUCCUUUGUUGCUCUCUCUCUCAACCCCAAUCAGCUCUCACCGAAACACAUCGCAAAUGACAACUUUGCCCUUAAUGACAUUCAGAAUAAUUGGGUCCCACCCCGUGUCAAAUGAGUGUCGAGUGUCGUGUCAAAGAAUUGUUUUCCUUUUCUCCAUGAAAAAUUGCA